This 497-nucleotide ribosomal RNA is filed under the name uncultured bacterium. RNAcentral's name for it is "partial 16S ribosomal RNA". It matches the Rfam family "Bacterial small subunit ribosomal RNA", at positions 28 to 507 of the family's 1533-position model. The record is from RNAcentral.
GAUGAACGCUGGCGGCGUGCCUAAUACAUGCAAGUCGAGCGAACGGACGAGAAGCUUGCUUCUCUGAUGUUAGCGGCGGACGGGUGAGUAACACGUGGAUAACCUACCUAUAAGACUGGGAUAACUUCGGGAAACCGGAGCUAAUACCGGAUGAUAUUUUGAACCGCAUGGUUCAAAAGUGAAAGACGGUCUUGCUGUCACUUAUAGAUGGAUCCGCGCUGCAUUAGCUAGUUGGUAAGGUAACGGCUUACCAAGGCAACGAUGCAUAGCCGACCUGAGAGGGGGAUAGGCCACACGGGAACGGAGACACGGUCCAGACUCCUACGGGAGGCAGCAGUAGGGAAUCUUCCGCAAUGGGCGAAAGCCUGACGGAGCAACGCCGCGUGAGUGAUGAAGGUCUUCGGAUCGUAAAACUCUGUUAUUAGGGAAGAACAUAUGUGUAAGUAACUGUGCACAUAUUGACGGUACCUAAUCAGAAAGCCACGGCUAACUACGUG